CACUUUUUAUAUAUAGUCAGGGCUUCCACUGAGGGUGUUAAUUUCAUUCACUCACACCCAGCUGAGUACAAACAUGCAAAUCAUCAAACAUUUUCCAUUUACCAGGCUGGUAUGGCCCUGAGCUGCUGGGAUUUCUGAAGGAGAUAACAAUUCCAUUUGCAAUGACUGCUGCAAUGUUUAACUCCCAAGGAAACUCGUGCCUGUGUUAUACUCCCCAAAGCCAAGACGACCAUUGCAAGCAACUCUUCAAAUUAAUUCUUAAAAAGGAAGAAUGAACGAAUGAACGAACGAGUCUUCUGACAGGGCAGGAUUAUAGGCGCAUUUUAAAAGUUCAAUUUAGCUCUAAAUGGAAGGUUUCACCAGCUGUUUCGGUCAAUGAAUCAGCAACUAAAUAUUCACUAUGAUUUGAGUGCUUUUGGUGAAGCAAUCUUUUGCACUGUGGACAAUCCUCAAUAGAUUUACUCUGUAAAUUCAGAAUCGUCGUGGGAUAGAGGAAGAUGUACCUAUUUUCACCCCCGAUGUCUCCACUUUAGCAGGAAGGCAAAGAAUGAACACCUCCAGGUCCCCGUAACCAGCACACAGGCCAGCAUCGGUGGCUACCGUUUACUGAGCACCUACUCUGUACCAGGGCCCAGGCUCCGCCUUUCAUACCUCCUUUAUACCCAUGGUAACGCAGGCAGCCAGGGAGCGGGAGUUUUGCCACCAAAUGCACUCAUGGAAGGCAUCAAGUGACACCCCCUCACCAGUGUGGGAGACAGAACAAGGGUCCCAACAGAGAGCCUUCAGGGGGUUUACAAUCAGUGUAUAAAACAGAUCAAUAAAAAAAAUACCUGCGGUGAGGGCUGUAAGGAAAUAACACAGGAAGGCACCGUCAUUUGGAGAAACCGUGGGAGGGAAGGGCAGUGAGGGAAUGAGGCCACGUGGGAUUACAAAAUCCCCUUGUUCAAGGUCAGAUGGCAAGCGUGGGGUGCAGCUCUCGCUGGCUGGAACUCUUAGGAUCACACCGGAAGCCACUGCCUGAUCCUACCUCCCAUCGCGCAUGUGUGUGUGUGUGCACGCGCAUGUGUGUAUGGGGGCCUGCUAGAACUCACUAUGGGACUGCAAAUAACUCACAUUUAUCAACCACUGCAAGCACCCAGCACUGCAAAAAAAGCAAGCAGUACUGUUUGAUCCUUAUGUUUGGGGUUCUGAGAGCCAUUAGAAAAACAAGAAUAAGACAGGGGUAUGUAUAAUGCUGGUCCCCUCAAAGGCUGUGCGCUGCACGCUGUUUAAAAUCCUUAGACGUCUCUCUGCCAGGUGUAAAAUGCUCUUUAGGGGGACAGCUGGCAGAGGGGGUAAGAUUUGUGUUUCUUGCACUAAUAUCCUGUCACUUGAUUUUUCAACUUUCCAGGCGUACAACCUGGAAACAGAAAUGUAAAUGAUCUAAAGGGCAGAUAGUGAUUCCCUUUAAAUUUGCUUUCAGAAUGUACUCUGAGCUCGACCUUUCUAAUCACAAAUGUCUGGCUCUGGUUAAAGUCUGUAUUCCCGGGAGCCCCUGCCACGGCUGGGCCACAGACGGGCUGGAGAAGUCAGGGGCAGCCUAGGCUGUUUUUACCAAAUGCACACAAACACGCGUUUCCCGUUCCCUUGCCCCCAAAGCAGACACGGACACCAUCCUGCUCUGCCGUGGAGCCUGGAGUCCCCAGUCAUCCACCGAGACUUGACAGCCACGCCAGAGAUACCACCCCUGAUACGUGGCCCUGAGCAAGAGCGGGGGAUCCAGACCCACCUCAGUGAAUACCUGCGACUGCUAAGAUUCGUGCUACGGAAGGGUACCGCACUACGGCGUGACCAGCAACCGUUUUUUCAAUGGUUCCCCCACAAUGAGUAAAAAUCCAUUAACAAGA
This is a long non-coding RNA of Felis catus (domestic cat), 1886 nucleotides long. RefSeq lists it as uncharacterized. The transcript has 2 exons. Lineage: Eukaryota; Metazoa; Chordata; Mammalia; Carnivora; Felidae. The record is from RefSeq and is a predicted model, not a curated record.